UGGAUGCACCCUCUAACCCUCAUCAGUCCUAUUCUCAUUCAUAUUCCUUGCUUCAGCAACUCUUCAAGCCUUAGGUAUCUUAGAUACUCUUUCUUUUUCUUUGCUUUAUUUCUUUGCUUUUCACCAUUUGCUGACUUUGCUUAGCAACUCCUUCAUUGACUUUGUUCAAUAAGUCUUCCUCAAUAACUUUCUUUGUAUUAUCACUACUUCCGGUACCUCCUAAUUGCUUCUCAACACUUUCAUUAUUUGUCACUUCCUUGCUUUGCUUCUCACUGCUCUUUUUUUGUGAGACUUCAUAUCCUAGGUCCCUCUAUGACUGCUUCUCCUAUUUCUUUGUACUAUAUAUAAAUAUAAGGAUACUCUCUUAUAUCUAAUGCAAGUUUUAUGAUUUUUUUUAAGCUGAUUGUCUUUAUACAAUAUCCUAAUUUCUUGAUUUUCAUUUAGAACAUAUUCUAUGGAA
This 460-nucleotide long non-coding RNA is filed under the name Elaeis guineensis (African oil palm). RNAcentral's name for it is "long non-coding RNA (EGUI_LNC052408)". Lineage: Eukaryota; Viridiplantae; Streptophyta; Magnoliopsida; Arecales; Arecaceae. The record is from RNAcentral.